AUUCACCUUAUUGAAGUCAACAGUUUGAUGCAAGUUCAGCUUCUGCAAAGAAACACCAUUAUUCAAAAGCUGUAGUUUCUUCCAAGUGACUUAGACAUUCUCCCCUGUAACGUCUACAUUGAUACCACCUCUGAACUGUUUUGUGUUUUUCAGAGGAAAAGCUUUGUGAGCUGAAGUUUCAGUUAUUUCCCCUAAAGAUCACAUUAUAGAACUCCAUCUAUUCACCACGAGCUUGGAUAAUGCUUCUUGAUAGAGAAGAGUCUGCAAAUGUAACACUUACUUAAUCCUCUUCAGCUGUGCCUGAGGCACUCUCCCAAGCUCGAAGACUUACCAUUUGUGUUCUUGGAAAGCAAGUAGGUGACAGAGGAUAGUUGAAGCCAGAAGUUCUUCAUUCUUUGAAGAGGCUUGACACUGGGGACACUAACCUCAGUAAUCCUGCUGUCUGGUUAAGAGACCAAGCUGAUUUUACAUGAUACUGCCUUUUGGAAGAAAACAGAGAAGCUUAUUCCUCAUUUAAGGGUCCAAGCCCUGAAACUUAAAGGGAAAGAAGCGUGCAUGGUCAUAAGGAUGUGUCUUCUGACUAGAGAUUCCCUCAGCUCCUUUUGCUUUGGACCCUGUUUGAGUUAUCAGUACUUCCUUGUUCACAGUGUAAGAUGA
This 657-nucleotide long non-coding RNA is filed under the name Phasianus colchicus (ring-necked pheasant). RNAcentral's name for it is "lncRNA (ENSPCLG00000005833.1)". Lineage: Eukaryota; Metazoa; Chordata; Aves; Galliformes; Phasianidae. The record is from RNAcentral.